This 857-nucleotide ribosomal RNA is filed under the name Kalmusia erioi. Its description in RNAcentral is "partial large subunit ribosomal RNA". It matches the Rfam family "Eukaryotic large subunit ribosomal RNA", at positions 69 to 943 of the family's 3401-position model. Lineage: Eukaryota; Fungi; Ascomycota; Dothideomycetes; Pleosporales; Didymosphaeriaceae. The record is from RNAcentral.
CAGGGAUUGCCCUAGUAACGGCGAGUGAAGCGGCAACAGCUCAAAUUUGAAAUCUGGCUCUCUUUGGGGGUCCGAGUUGUAAUUUGCAGAGGGUGCUUUGGCAUCGGCGGCGGUCUAAGUUCCUUGGAACAGGACAUCGCAGAGGGUGAGAAUCCCGUACGUGGGCGCCUGCCUUUGCCGUGUAAAGCCCCUUCGACGAGUCGAGUUGUUUGGGAAUGCAGCUCUAAAUGGGAGGUAAAUUUCUUCUAAAGCUAAAUACCGGCCAGAGACCGAUAGCGCACAAGUAGAGUGAUCGAAAGAUGAAAAGUACUUUGGAAAGAGAGUCAAAUAGCACGUGAAAUUGUUGAAAGGGAAGCGCUUGCAGCCAGACGUGCCCGCAGUUGCUCACCCAGGCUCCGGCCUGGGGCACUCUUCUGCGGGCAGGCCAGCAUCAGUUUGGGCGGUUGGAUAAAGGCCUCUGUCACGUAUCUCCCUUCGGGGUGACCUUAUAGGGGAGGCGUAAUGCAACCAGCCCGGACUGAGGUCCGCGCAUCUGCUAGGAUGCUGGCGUAAUGGCUGUAAGCGGCCCGUCUUGAAACACGGACCAAGGAGUCUAACAUCUAUGCGAGUGUUUGGGUGUCAAGCCCGGGCGCGUAAUGAAAGUGAACGGAGGUGGGAACCCUUUGGGUGCACCAUCGACCGAUCCUGAUGUCUUCGGAUGGAUUUGAGUAAGAGCAUAGCUGUUGGGACCCGAAAGAUGGUGAACUAUGCUUGAAUAGGGUGAAGCCAGAGGAAACUCUGGUGGAGGCUCGCAGCGGUUCUGACGUGCAAAUCGAUCGUCAAAUUUGGGCAUAGGGGCGAAAGACUAAUCGAACCAU